GCUCCCUGCCAUGAUAAUAAUGGACUGAACCUCUGAAACUAUCAAUGACCAUGUCUCCUGGAACAAUCUAAGAGAAUUCAAGGCAUUGAAACUUUCACAAUGUAAUAGUGUCUAGCAUAAAGGAAGCAUUUGACAACUUGUUAGGUACUAUUUGUUAUUGUAUUUCUAAUUUUAAAAUGUAUGAAAAGACUUGAACCUUUUGUACCUCAGGACAAUGUUAUACUUAGAGGAAAAAGAAACAAUUUCUAUUUCUAAAGAAAUAUAUACUUUUUAUUCCCCAAAUUA
Long non-coding RNA from Peromyscus leucopus (white-footed mouse), 285 nucleotides. RefSeq lists it as uncharacterized. The transcript has 2 exons. NCBI's taxonomy places the organism in Eukaryota, Metazoa, Chordata, Mammalia, Rodentia, Cricetidae. The record is from RefSeq and is a predicted model, not a curated record.